GACGAACGCUGGCGGCGUGCUUAACACAUGCAAGUCGAACGAAGUGGCGCACGGGUGAGUAACGCGUAAUCAACUUGCCCUUCAGAGGGGCACAACAGUUGGAAACGACUGCUAAUACCGCAUACUGAAGGAGGGGAUUGCGUCUGAUUAGCUAGUUGGAGGGGUAACGGCCCACCAAGGCGAGGAUCAGUAGCCGGUCGUGGAGGAGGAAAGGCCACAAUGGGAAUGGGACACGGCCCAGACACCUACGGGAGGCAGCAGUGGGGGAUCUUCCGCAAUGGACGAAAGUCUGACGGAGCAACGCCGCGUGAGUGAUGACGGCCUUCGGGUUGUAAAGCUCUGUUAAUCGGGACGCGGUACCGGAAUAGAAAGCCACGGCUAACUACGUGCCAGCAGCCGCGGUAAUUC
This 408-nucleotide ribosomal RNA is filed under the name uncultured bacterium. Its description in RNAcentral is "partial 16S ribosomal RNA". It matches the Rfam family "Bacterial small subunit ribosomal RNA", at positions 28 to 526 of the family's 1533-position model. The record is from RNAcentral.